GUAAAUAUAGUUUAUAAAAACCCUAGAUUGUGAUUCUAGCGAUAGAGACUAAUCCUCUCUUAUUUACC
This 68-nucleotide transfer RNA is filed under the name Amolops larutensis (Larut sucker frog). RNAcentral describes it as "tRNA-His". It matches the Rfam family "tRNA". Rfam says of the family: Transfer RNA (tRNA) molecules are approximately 80 nucleotides in length. Their secondary structure includes four short double-helical elements and three loops (D, anti-codon, and T loops). Further hydrogen bonds mediate the characteristic L-shaped molecular structure. tRNAs have two regions of fundamental functional importance: the anti-codon, which is responsible for specific mRNA codon recognition, and the 3' end, to which the tRNAs corresponding amino acid is attached (by aminoacyl-tRNA synthetases). tRNAs cope with the degeneracy of the genetic code in two manners: having more than one tRNA (with a specific anti-codon) for a particular amino acid; and 'wobble' base-pairing, i.e. permitting non-standard base-pairing at the 3rd anti-codon position. The record is from RNAcentral. Lineage: Eukaryota; Metazoa; Chordata; Amphibia; Anura; Ranidae.